AACCAUCUUUACGUUUUACUCUAUACAGUUAUAGAACAUUUAAAAAUAAAGGUCACAUUUUGGGGGUUUUGUUUAUCAAAGAGUUGCUUAUUUACACAACCAACAGUUACAGAGCAACAUUACUCUUUUAGCUCUGUUUUUGGUCUCUACCAACUCCUGAGGGAAAUAUCUGUUUCUUUAGCUGCUAAAUGCUCCACUGUCCCUAUUUGUUUGCAUAACAGUGAUCAAUUAUUGUGUUCAUUAAUAAUUGCCUAAUAGCUUCAUUUGUUUCAAAUAAUCAGUGUUUUGGUUAUAGACACGUAUAUAUUUUAUGCAGGCUCUUGUGCAUCCCAUCAGCAGGGUGUUCACACUUCCUUUUCAGAGGUGAAGUACAAUGCAAUACAUAAUCCACCUCUGUUAAAGGACCAGUGGGAUUCCGUGGCAUCUAUCGGUGAAGUAGCUGAUUACAACUCCCUUGCUUCACCCUCCUCUUUGAAGCAUGUAAAAAGGUGUUGUUCGUUCUGGGCUAUUGCAGAAAGAUGGAAGACUCCAUGGAAGGCAACCUGCUCCCUCUGUAGAUAAAAAUGGCUCAUUCAAGAUCCUCCUAAAUGUUACACACUGGACCUCCAACAGGCCUCCUUCUAUUAUUUUCAUGAUGAAUGCAUAUACAAUGAACAAAGAAAAUAUUUUACUUUGUCACCAAUCUGUAUCUGCAUGACCACUACAGGUAGGUAAGUAUGUAUUUUCCACUUUUUUGGGUAAACCUCCCCUUCAAAAAUAUACUAGUGUUUGUAUUUAUAAAAACAAUCACAACAAACCACGUUCACAAACACCUUGGACAUCCAGAACAAUACAGCUCCCACUGGUUGUAUUUGUGACACUACCCUCCCAGUAUGCUUGAACUUGUUUUGCGUCCCAACAAAUUACAGGUUUGAAGUGUUUCUCCAGAGUUUUAUUCUUCUCAACUGAACACACUCUGAAACAACAUUUGGAUCGUUAGGUGACACACACCAAUACAAAAUAAACAGCUCUAAUACAUUCAUUUUAAACGGAGGAAAUUAUUAAUCAUUUAUAGAAAAAUGUCUUGUUAUUAAAGAAGCAUGAUAUGAUGCAUUGGUCUGGGAGGAACCACCAUCAUAAGACCGGUUCAGUAUCUAUAAACCUCAAGUGUUGUUUGCCAUCAGUGACACUUGGUAGUAAGCGUUUCUUCUUUGUAAAACCAGUAAGUGUUUCAGAUUUCCAUACUGUAGGCUGUUUCCAUGUUCCCUUUCUCAGUAAUAGUCUGAGAUGCAGCCACAACAUCACCUCCUCCUCAUUUUCUCUCCUCCUCCUCACAUCUCCCAACCAGCUGGCAGACAUCUUCAUAGGCUACUACACCGCCCGCUGGCUGUCUGCUCAUCUCUCUCCUCGUCCUCACGCUCCGUCUUCUGAUAGAUAGAUAGAUAGAUAGAUAGAUAGAUAGAUAGAUAGAUAGAUAGAUAGAUAGAUAGACAGAUAGACAGACAGAUAGACAGAUAGACAGAUAGAUAGACAGAUAGACAGAUAGAUACAUGAUGGUAGUGUUAUUGUUAAUAACAGUAUAUAAUGAUAAUAUUAAUAAUAUUUAUAAUAAUAUAAUUAUAAUAUGUAUAUAGAAUAUGAUGACUGAACAGAUAUACGUGUAUAAACAUAGAUAUUCUACAUUAAUAUUGAUAUGAUGUAAACGUGUCAUAUAUUCAUAUAUAUAUAUAUUUAUAUUCUGUGUCUCUGAAGACAUCACUCCUUUUUCUGAUAUCUUUCUUUACCUCCUCACUUCUCCUCUUCUCCUCCUCGCUCUGUAGGCCAUUUGACAGAGAUGUGGUAAGACUUCAGCUCCUCCUCAGAUACAAAGUCAGGGGCGCAGCUCAUGAGGUCUUGACCCCGGAAUGACUUGGGAAAGGCAAUGACAUCACGGAUGCUGGGAGCCCCGACAAUGAUGGAGACCAGCCGGUCAAACCCUAGCAAAGCAUAAGUUUAGAGUAAUUAGACAACCUAAUACAUUUAUAACCAUUUUCACGUUUUAGCUCAUGAAUUGUGCAUUUUAGUAGCACUAUUGCACAUUACAUGAAUCAUUUAUUGUAUGCAUACAAUAAAUAUUUGAUCAAUACACCACUGACACUUUAACCCUGAUGUCAAAUUCCAGUUUUUCAUAUCUAAGUUGCAUGCCACAUGUCAGCCUGCCUCUUAAGCUAGCAAGCACAAUAAUAAUACAUAAUAUACACGUUUUACUGGUUGUAUCUAUGUAUCUGUAUUUUGUGUUUUUAUUCUUAUAUAUUAAUACUUUAAUUUACAGUAAAGUUUACUGUUAAAAACCUUAAAUCUAUCGUAAUUGUCAUGUUUUGCUCAACUGUAAAAUCAGUACAUAAACACUUUAAUAACUUGUAGCUUUUAGAUUUUUUUAACUGUAAGCUGUAGCAGGAGUAUCUGAACAUGAGGAUAUCAUAUGUGUACAAGGUGUUAAGAAUAAUAAAAAUAAAAAAAAACAGUUAAGCCA
Molecule: long non-coding RNA, 2491 nt
Organism: Dicentrarchus labrax (European seabass)
Lineage: Eukaryota; Metazoa; Chordata; Actinopteri; Moronidae
Exons: 2
Source: RefSeq, a predicted model, not a curated record